RNA transcript from Triticum aestivum (bread wheat), 1688 nucleotides. RefSeq lists it as uncharacterized. The transcript has 10 exons. NCBI's taxonomy places the organism in Eukaryota, Viridiplantae, Streptophyta, Magnoliopsida, Poales, Poaceae. The record is from RefSeq and is a predicted model, not a curated record.
CGCAAGCCUCCUCUCUGGCGAGCUCUUUCCCCCGUGGCUCCUCGCCGCCGCCGCCACCACCCAUGCCCGCCGAUUCCGGCGAGUCCCGGCGGCGGGUGGCACAUCAACGACCUCCCCUGGCCCCGCUCCUUCCUCCCAUCCUUUCAGAUCAGUCGCUGGAGGCCUCCCGCGCUCUCUCCCGAUCCUCAGCCGUGGCUAGGGUUUCGGGUGCGGCGUCCCCUUCGUCGCCGGCGAGGCUCUGGCGCCUCGAGGCCUCCGGCGGCUCGUCUCCGUCGUGUUCCCAGCCCACCGCGUAAUGGACGGUCCUCCCGUGCCCGAUGGCCAUGAGGUGCACGCGAUUUGGUGUAGCAGCCGCCUGUCAACAUCGACGAGGAGGGCGUUCGGGACCCAAGCGCAAGCCGACGAGCCUGGAUGCUACCAACAAGCAGCCGACCAUGCCGAUGCGAUACAUCCGGUGCUGCCUGGCAGCCAGCCCCACAUCUCCACCCAGGGAAAAUGCUGCAGCUAAUGGAUGUUUAGUGAGGCUAUGUUCUGAUUUGACAAAGCUGAAGGAAGCACAUGCCACAAAUUUCUCGCAGUCAUUAUUCUAUCUCUGCGAUUGCUUCUUUGGAUGAGGAACAGGCGGAUACUUUGUGCAGAAAGGGAACUGCCUUCUUGGUUUAAUCAAUUGAGAUUAGCUUCUUCUAAUGUUAACUACUUAAUGGAGCUUUUGUUGCUGAGUGUUAUUUACGGGACAAGUACGUGUCAUGAACUAACUUCAGAUUUUUGGUUUAUAAGUGUCGAGCAUAACUAUCCAUGGUGGUAUAUAUACAAUUGACAGACUUGUAUUAGGCUUCAGAAUUGAAUGCAAUGAAACUGAUUAAGGCUGCAGGCAGGAUAUGGAACACCAUGACUUCAAUUUACAGGAUCUGAAAUAGCUUGGUCAGCUUUCUUCCCACAUCAUAUCAGAUUCUGUAUGGAGUCAUCUUGGCACAGUUAUGUUCAUCAUAGUAGUAAACGGCAAAAGAGAAAUGCUCAUGUCUCGGUCCAUCUAAAUUUCAGAGAACUCACUGUUCGACCUCGCUGGCACCGCCUUAGAUGGGCUUGCUGCUAUUUUAGUCUGGUCAUAUGCAGAUUUGUUAUCUUCAAGCAAAGCUAAAUAGUGAAGAGGAUGAGCAUCCAGAGUAUAUCAUCCGCGGAACACCUGGCAGGAUCCAGCACUGUGGAGAGCUUGAUGAUCACUGUUACUGGGGUAAUGAGGUUAAGUUAUAUCAAUGGCACGUAGGCGCUCUCUUUGCUAUGUUCUUGCGCAAAAAGCCAGGCAUCAACUACUAUGUGUGCACAAUCAAUAAAACAUUUGCCAAGCUAGGCCAGCGCAUGAACCUGCUGGACUACAUUGAUCCACAUAAUGAUACACUCAUGGUCAAGCUUGCAAAUGGGUGUCUGCUUGCCAGAUGUCGCAUCAUGCUAGAAACUGACAAGAGGACAACCAUAACCACCGUCUGGUCCGAGUUUCGUCGCCGCGCCAACAUUCGCGAAGGAGAUGUUUGCGUUGCUAUUUGAUCCUUUUGAGGGUAUGAUGUCUACUACGCAACCUUCUUUUUGUAGAUGUUGUUGGGCUUCCAAGUGCAGAGGUUUGUAGGACAGUAGCAAAUUUUCCUCAAGUGGAUGACCUAAGGUUUAUAAAUCCGUCGGAGGCGUAGGAUGAA